UGAGCAAUCUGCCCUUCUCAUCGGAAUAAGCGUUGGAAACGACGUCUAAUGCCGAAUACGACCUCCUUUCGCAUGAUCGGAGGUGGAAAGCUCCGGCGGAGAAGGAUGAGCUCGCGGCCUAUCAGCUAGCUGGUGAGGUAACGGCUCACCAAGGCUUCGACGGGUAGCCGGCCUGAGAGGGCGACCGGCCACACUGGGACUGAGAUACGGCCCAGACCUCCGUAGGGAGG
Molecule: ribosomal RNA, 230 nt
Filed under: uncultured bacterium
Lineage: Bacteria
Description: partial 16S ribosomal RNA
Rfam family: Bacterial small subunit ribosomal RNA
Source: RNAcentral